AUUUUCUUGUUUGUUUCACGUGCGCUAGUGCGGGCUUGAUGUCUUCUAUUACGGAUGAUUAAAAGCGGUAAUGCAAUAAUUAGACAAAUGUGGAAGUAGCGACAGAACCCUCUAAUCGGUUCCUAUUUUGUGCAAGAACAUUUCAUUGGAAGGACGGCGUUUGAAUGGUUGAGUGAGCCAAUUGUUUUGACUGUUAAGUAGGCAGGUUCAAAGUAAAGAUGACUGACGACGUAUCAGAUGAUUCUAGCGACUUGGAUGCUGGCAUUCCAGCUCACACAAUUAAAUAUUUUCCUCGUAGCGGUCGUCAGAAAGGACCAAGUAAUUUGGCUCUCAAACGGGCCAACCUCAUGUUCACGAUGGAAAAUGAACGCUACCGCACGAAGUGCCGUAAGCUUGAGCGUUUUAUGAAGGAUUUGGUCAUAGAGAGCGCAGCACUCUGCGACCAAGUGGCACGCGUGCAAGAGUCAAUCUUUGUGGCCAAAGAAGAGCGGCGUUUCCUCCUGAAGAAGUUCCUCCAGUACCGUCAGCAACGGGAUGGACCCGUUGAAACAGUGCGGCCAGCACCCGUCAGCGCUCCAGCGCAGGCGGGUGGUUCGACACCGCCGUCCACACCAGCACUCGGCGGUGUUUUGGACAGCACCGACAAGGCGCAGGCGAAGGCUUCAAAAAAGGUCCUUAAGCGACGUAACACUAAGGAGGGGCUUACCGAGGAAGCACCGCGGCCUAAACGAAGAAAGCCGGCAGGAGCAGACAAGCGACUAGUAGCACCUAUUCCACUGGACUCAUGCGGUCGACCCUUGUUUCCUAUUGUGUUGCCUGGUUGCAAAGUGCAUAGCCUUGGGGAGAUUGUCACUGACAGAGCUGGAUUCCACUGCCAGGAGAGCCUGUACCCUGUUGGCUACUGUAGCUCCCGGAUUUACGCAAGCGUUCUGAAUGCCAAUCAUGCCUGCAUCUACACAUGCACCAUUCUUGAUGCUGGCACUGGACCUCGGUUUGAAAUUGUUGCGGAAGAUGCACCUGAACGACCUUUUGUGGGCAGCAGUCCAGAUGAAUGCUAUGUUGCACUUUUGAGAGCAGUCAAUCGAACAUGUGGGGCAGAGGUCAUUGUGCCUGCGGCUCGAGGUGCAGAUUUUUUCGCUUUGCCUCAUCCAACUAUUCAGAACCUGGUCCAGAGCUGCCCUGGCGCACGCAAGUGCCCCAAUUACAGAUGGGUGCGCUUUGAGGUAUCCCGCAGUGCAACUGAUGAGACUGAGCGGCUGGACAGUGACCCCUACUUGAGCUAUGCAGCCUUUCGACAGCUGUGCCUUCAGCCACGACUAGCUGCCAUAGCUGCAGCAUCUGAGCCCAGCCUGCCUGGAGGCGUAACCAUCAAACAGGAGCCACUGGACAUUGUGUAGGCACAUCAAAAAUACAUAAAUCUUGGCUGGGUGCGGCCCUUACACAAAUCAGGCUGAUGACAACCUGCUAAAGACUUGCAGGCUCUCCGAGAUGGGAAGGCACUGCUUGACCAGGCAUGAAAUCCACAGCAUGUGCUCACCAACAGAAGACAGCUGCCAGAACUGCAUCACAACAAAGACAGCAAAUGUCGACAUCAAGCGGAACAUUGCGGCGGAGGCCAUGCCUGCAAAGUGCGGCCAGCUAGCUUGAUGGUAUUUAGAGUACUGUUUAAUAAAAUAUAUGGCACUGUUGCCAGCAGCAUUGUGUUGAAA
Molecule: RNA transcript, 1709 nt
Organism: Dermacentor andersoni
Lineage: Eukaryota; Metazoa; Arthropoda; Arachnida; Ixodida; Ixodidae
Gene name: transforming growth factor beta regulator 1
Source: RefSeq, a predicted model, not a curated record